This 216-nucleotide ribosomal RNA is filed under the name Glomeromycotina sp. RNAcentral's name for it is "partial small subunit ribosomal RNA". The stretch from base 40 to 216 matches the Rfam family "Eukaryotic small subunit ribosomal RNA", at positions 686 to 864 of the family's 1831-position model. Lineage: Eukaryota; Fungi; Glomeromycota. The record is from RNAcentral.
GGGUCAGUAGGUUGGUCGUGCCACCGGUACGUACUGGUCUCACUGAUUCCUCCUUCCUGAAGAACCGUAAUGCCAUUAAUUUGGUGUUGCGGGGGAACAGGACUGUUACUUUGAAAAAAUUAGAGUGUUUAAAGCAAGCUAACGCUUGAAUACAUUAGCAUGGAAUAAUGAAAUAGGACGACCGAUCCUAUUUUGUUGGUUUCUAGGAUUGACGUA